GCCCUGUGCUUGGUACUGGAGGUCGGUUUCAGUGAUGAAACCCCUCUCAAUGACAACGACGGCGGCCUGUGGUUCCCCCGGUACACUGAGCUUUGACGAGCACGUAUCGGAUCAAGCGCCCGGGUCACGGUCUUCUCCCCCUACGGGGAAAUCUUUACAAGGUUGACCUCGGAUCAGGUAGGAAUACGCGCUGAACUUAA
This 200-nucleotide unclassified non-coding RNA is filed under the name soil metagenome. RNAcentral's name for it is "partial contains internal transcribed spacer 2 and large subunit ribosomal RNA". The record is from RNAcentral.